CGCUUCAGUGUAGUGCUGGCAGUGGAGGAGUACGUGUGUGGCGUCCUCUCGUUCCGGGCAUCCGUUCGGGCAAUCUGCGAGUGUUUCCGGUUCCAAUCUGCUGAUGAAGUGAUUUAGUUUGUUGUGGCCGCUGCGUAGUCGGAACAAGGCUGAUUGGAUAGUUCUUUUCUUAUUGGUGUGCCAUGUGGCAUUGCGUCGGUCCUUCCGGAUGUUUGUCGCCAGUUGGUCUGCGAUUUCGUUUCCAACGAUUCCGGCGUGUGAGGGUAUUGCUGGGCUUGACUCCCAUUUGAAGUUGGAUAUUGCUUGAAUGGAAGAUUUUGAAUCAGUGAAGAUGGUGGCUGAGUCCAUCUCGUACUUGUUGAGGUAUGUGGAAUGCACAGCUGGCAGUUUUGUUGUCUCGCACACUGAUCCAUCAGUGUAUACUUCAAGGUGGUUGGUGUUUGGAUUACGAUUGCAAUUGGAGUGGGAUCGUUGUGGCUGCUUUGGUUUUCGCCGUGGAAUAUAUUGCGAUGUCAUCGGCGAAAAGGGAAGUUUCGCAUCCUUCUUCUGGGAUUGGGAAGUCCGCAAGCAUUACGUUGAAUAGGAGGGGGCUGAGCACACUUCCUUGAGGGACUCCUUUGGAAAUUUUUCUUUCUUCGGAUAGGUUGUUGUUUACUCUUGUCCUUAUGCCUCUUCCGGAGUCCUUCUAUCCAUGUGUUGUCGUACGCCUUCGAGAUGUCCAGGAAUAUUGCUGUGGUUGGGUGGCUGCUGUUGAAGCCGGAUUUGAUGGCUGAUUCUAUUCGGAUUAGAUUGUCGGUGGUGGUACAUCCUCUUCGGAAUCCGGUUUGGACUUUCGGCAUGAUGUCAAUGAGACUGGUCUGUACGAUUCCGCUUCUCCGGGUGGAUUGCCUGGUUUGAGGAUGGGUGUGACGAUGGCACAUUUCCAAUCUUUUGGGAUGUAUCCUUCCCUGAACAUCAAGUUGAUUGUUUCUCGUAUCGAUGUCGCUCGGGAUGCCUUGGCUUGUUGCUGCUCGUCGGAGUUCUUCAAUUUGGGCUUUGAGGUCAUCGAUUUCUUGUCUGGUCGGAGCGUCUUCAUUGGUGUGGUGUCUCGCGAAGAUGGGGCAUGCUGCUGUUCCUGCUUCGUGGUCGUUUCCUUCGCACGUCGGGCACUUUGGUGGGCUGGUGCACUGUUGGUCUUCUUCAUGGGCACAGGCACAGGUUCUACACACUUGAACAACGGGGCUUGAUUCUUCCGGAUGUCCGAAUACCCAACACUUUCGGCACAGGUACGGUCUUGGGAUGAAUUUUUUCACUAAGAACACUUCGUGGGCGAUGAUGACUUCGCGCGGGAGGUGUGUUGUGUCGAAGUAGAGAGUGACCAUUGUAGAGCUGGUCGUAGUGUUGUUGGGUCCUCGUUUGGCGAAU
This is a long non-coding RNA of Daphnia magna, 1404 nucleotides long. RefSeq lists it as uncharacterized. The transcript is spliced from 9 exons. The record is from RefSeq and is a predicted model, not a curated record. Lineage: Eukaryota; Metazoa; Arthropoda; Branchiopoda; Diplostraca; Daphniidae.